RNAcentral lists this ribosomal RNA (401 nucleotides) under uncultured bacterium. Its description in RNAcentral is "bacterial SSU rRNA". It matches the Rfam family "Bacterial small subunit ribosomal RNA", at positions 32 to 429 of the family's 1533-position model. The record is from RNAcentral.
AAUCAACGCUGGCGGCGUGCCUAACACAUGCAAGUCGAGCGAGAAAGGGGCUUCGGCCCUGAGUACAGCGGCGCACGGGUGAGUAACACGUGGGUAACCUACCCUGGAGUGGGGAAUAACAUCGGGAAACCGGUGCUAAUACCGCAUACGAUUGCGGGGUCUUCGGAUCCUGUAAUGAAAGGCGAAAGUCGCUCCUGGAUGGGCCCGCGCCCGAUUAGCUAGUUGGUGAGGUAACGGCNCACCAAGGCUUCGAUCGGUAGCCGGUCUGAGAGGACGGUCGGCCACACUGGAACUGACACACGGUCCAGACUCCUACGGGAGGCAGCAGUGGGGAAUUUUCGCAAUGGGGCAACCCUGACGAAGCAACGCCGCGUGGGUGAUGAAGUAUCUCGGUACGUAAA